This 547-nucleotide ribosomal RNA is filed under the name Aureobasidium proteae. Its description in RNAcentral is "eukaryotic LSU rRNA". It matches the Rfam family "Eukaryotic large subunit ribosomal RNA", at positions 80 to 642 of the family's 3401-position model. The record is from RNAcentral. Lineage: Eukaryota; Fungi; Ascomycota; Dothideomycetes; Dothideales; Saccotheciaceae.
CUAGUAACGGCGAGUGAAGCGGCAACAGCUCAAAUUUGAAAGCUAGCCUUCGGGUUCGCAUUGUAAUUUGUAGAGGAUGAUUUGGGGAAGCCGCCUGUCUAAGUUCCUUGGAACAGGACGUCAUAGAGGGUGAGAAUCCCGUAUGUGACAGGAAAUGGCACCCUAUGUAAAUCUCCUUCGACGAGUCGAGUUGUUUGGGAAUGCAGCUCUAAAUGGGAGGUAAAUUUCUUCUAAAGCUAAAUAUUGGCGAGAGACCGAUAGCGCACAAGUAGAGUGAUCGAAAGAUGAAAAGCACUUUGGAAAGAGAGUUAAAAAGCACGUGAAAUUGUUGAAAGGGAAGCGCUUGCAAUCAGACUUGUUUAAACUGUUCGGCCGGUCUUCUGACCGGUUUACUCAGUUUGGACAGGCCAGCAUCAGUUUCGGCGGCCGGAUAAAGGCUCUGGGAAUGUGGCCUCCACUUCGGUGGAGGUGUUAUAGCCCAGGGUGUAAUACGGCCAGCCGGGACUGAGGUCCGCGCUUCGGCUAGGAUGCUGGCGUAAUGGUUGUA